Long non-coding RNA from Anastrepha ludens (Mexican fruit fly), 381 nucleotides. RefSeq lists it as uncharacterized. The transcript has 3 exons. Lineage: Eukaryota; Metazoa; Arthropoda; Insecta; Diptera; Tephritidae. The record is from RefSeq and is a predicted model, not a curated record.
ACAAACUUGGUUUUAUUUUAAAUUCCUCAAGUAAAUCAAAUUAAUAAUAAUCAAUAAGAAGGCAUAUGCCAAUACAAAUACGUGAAUUUAUAUAUGUACAUAUGCGCAUAUACAUACAUAUAUACGCUCACUUAAGUAGGAGAGAGCAAGAUGUCGAACGUUGCCGUUCGUUUGCUUUGUUUGCUUUGUCGUUCCUUCCGCGCUUUCGCUUGCAGUUCAUUCAAUGCAAUGAGCAAGGUAACUACAUAUGAGCAAGGUAACACUAAAGAGCAAGGUAACACUAAUGAGCAAGGUAACUACAUAUGAGCAAGGUAACGACACAUUUUUUCGUGCGUGCAGCCUGUUAAAUCGAAUUAUAAGACGUUAUCACGUCAAAAAAAA